UACAGAGGGUGCAAGCGUUAAUCGGAAUUACUGGGCGUAAAGCGUGCGUAGACGGUUAUGUAAGUCAGGUGUGAAAGCCCCGGGCUCAACCUGGGAAUGGCAUUUGAGACUGCAUAGCUAGGGUGCGGAAGAGGGAAGCGGAAUUUCCGGUGUAGCGGUGAAAUGCGUAGAUAUACGGAAGGAACAUCAGUGGCGAAAGCGGCUUCCUGGUCCAGCACCGACGUCAGGCACGAAAGCGUGGGGAGCAAACAGG
This 253-nucleotide ribosomal RNA is filed under the name uncultured bacterium. RNAcentral describes it as "partial 16S ribosomal RNA". It matches the Rfam family "Bacterial small subunit ribosomal RNA", at positions 524 to 776 of the family's 1533-position model. The record is from RNAcentral.